This 497-nucleotide ribosomal RNA is filed under the name uncultured bacterium. RNAcentral describes it as "partial 16S ribosomal RNA". It matches the Rfam family "Bacterial small subunit ribosomal RNA", at positions 28 to 507 of the family's 1533-position model. The record is from RNAcentral.
GAUGAACGCUGGCGGCGGGCCUAAUACAUGCAAGUCGAGGGAACAGACGAGGGGCGUGCGCCUCUGACGUUAGCGGCGGACGGGUGGGUGAGACGUGGGUAACCUACCUAUAAGACUGGGAGAACUUCGGGAGACCGGGGCGAACACCGGAUAAUAUAUUGAACCGGAUGGUUCAAGAGUUAAAGGCGGUUUUGCGGGCAGUUAGAGAGGGAUCCGCGCCGCUUUCGCUAGUUGGUAAGGUAAGGGCUUACCAAGGCGACGAUGCGUAGCCGACCGGAGCGGGUGGUCGGCCCCCCUGGACCUGAGCCACGGCCCAGACCCCUCCGGGACGCAGCAGUGGGGAAUCUUCCGCAAUGGGCGAAAGCCUGGCGGGGCCCCGCCGCGUGAGUGAUGAAGGUCUUCCGAUCGUAAUACUCUGUUAUUAGGGAAGAACAAAUGUGUAAGUAACUAUGCACGUCUUGCCGGUACCUAAUCAGAAAGCCCCGGCUAACUCCGUG